UUGAUAGAAGAGAUUGUACUUGACAAAGCUUUGGAGAAGGAAAGAGCAUAUACAAGCAGAGAAGUCAGGACAUACUUAAGAAGGAUCAAAAAACCACCAAAAGAAAGAAAUCAACUCUUCCACCCAAACAAUCUAUUUCUAAUACGGGUAUGAACCGGAUCCCAAAGCAACAAUCGCCGAGGAUCACCACCAAUAGGAAGGCCUAGAUACAAAAAAAGACACCUUGCUCGCCGUACAAGUGGUUGUUGUUGCUAUUGAUAGCUAACGAAAUUUUCGACAUUUUGGUACCAGUUUCAUGAGUUUUGGUUCAGUAUUAAGUUCUGGAGGCAACUUUGAAGUAUGGGGUCUGAUGCAGAUUUUUGAAGUAUGAAUAGGCGAGGAGAUGCAGAAGAGAAAUAUUAAGUGGAGUUCGCAUAAGCCGAACUUAUCAUCAUACUCAAAUUUAGAGGUAGGUAAUAAAUUACCUACUGAUGGUAAUCAAUUACCAGAAGCUUCUGGUGCCCAAAAAUCACUUCUGACCUUGGUAAUAGGUUACCCAAUGAUAGUGAUUUAUACCAACCUUACAUUUAGCAUAAAUCACUUUAUGAAACACUAGUUUUGCUUUUAAAGAUUUUAAAUUUCAUUCCACGGAUCAUUUCAACAUUUUAUGGAUCUUUUAAGAGUGAAUCAAGAUUUAACACAUGAUUAAUACGAUAUAUUAAAAGAGUGUUCUCAUGAAGAAUCAUUAGUAACGCGGGUAGAUUCUAACAUUAAGGAAAUGGGGGACUUAGUAUGAGACUUGAUUUAAAUAAUCGAAUUUAGUACAACCAAGAUAUUAGAACAUAUUAGAUAUAUGCUACAAAAUUUAUAUCCAGAUACUUAUAUAUACAUGUCGACAAGUUGUGGCUCAGGUAAGCACCAGACUAUGUUAGGAUAGGUCAACCCAUCAGGGAACCUUCAUGAUGACUCGUACAUAUAUAUAUAUAUAUAUAUAGACACACACACAUACAGAUAAUGUAAUAAUAAAUAUUUCGUGUCCCUCAGCAGGUUCUGAUGGAUGGGUUUAUCAUAGAUGGUAAACCACACGUAGUCAGAGGAAUUCCGGUGAUUAGCCUCAGAUAGGAGUUUUCAUCGGAUAGCAGUGGGAUGGUGACCGACGUUACUCCACUCAGGAUCCAUUCAGUAAAAUCAAUCCAGAUAAAAAUUGUUUGUUCAACACUUAGCUUAUAACAUUAAUAUGAAAACAGAAUACAAAUAUGUUUAUGCAUCAGAGCAGACUUAUGAUAGAGCACCGUAACAAUCCUAGUUUUUCCUUGAUCGUUCAGUUAUGUAGAACAGAACUGUAUAAACCCAAACAGGUUGAGCUUAGUCAGAUGGCAAUCAUAGGUUUUCCCCGAGAUUGCCUACAACCUAGGAUAGGUGGAACUCACUGAGACAUCAUGCCUCAUCCCAAUCCUUUCAUUUUAUUUUACAGAUUAUCAGGUUGCUCGUAUCAAGAGGAGGCAGAUAUGCAGGUGAAUGGAUUAUCGUCAAUAACUCGUUUCGUACCAAUUCUAGAUAUUUUAUGUAUUCGAAUACUUAUUAGAUAUAUGUAUUUGGCAGUUGAUAUUUUAUCAGAUGUAUAAACUUGUAAGGUAUAUAGUCAUUGAAAAGAAAUUAUGCUGUAAUUUUAAUGUAUCCAGUAUUAAGUUUAACACA
Medicago truncatula (barrel medic) is the source of this 1677-nucleotide long non-coding RNA. RefSeq lists it as uncharacterized. NCBI's taxonomy places the organism in Eukaryota, Viridiplantae, Streptophyta, Magnoliopsida, Fabales, Fabaceae. The record is from RefSeq and is a predicted model, not a curated record. The transcript is spliced from 2 exons.